GGGUCACCUGUUGAAGUUGGCUGGCCAUCUAACUCUGUGUAGGGUUAGGGUUGAGGAAAGUCCCCGGGCCAUGCGGCAGAGAUGCCAUCCCACUAAAUGGGAUAAAGUAGCCGGAAACUGCAUUCCUCAUUGGAGGGGGCUGAGACACGGUGGAGCCUUUGGUGGUUUCUGGCGAAACGGCUGGCCGUGAUUGACGACAGUUAUCAACUUCGCUCGCUGAAAAUCUUAAGCGGGUUAACUGAACGGGGCUUACAACAUUGUGACU
RNAcentral lists this RNase MRP RNA (265 nucleotides) under Amborella trichopoda. RNAcentral's name for it is "SRP RNA RNase_MRP". It matches the Rfam family "RNase MRP". Rfam says of the family: RNase MRP is an enzymatically active ribonucleoprotein with two distinct roles in eukaryotes. In mitochondria it plays a direct role in the initiation of mitochondrial DNA replication. Lineage: Eukaryota; Viridiplantae; Streptophyta; Magnoliopsida; Amborellales; Amborellaceae. The record is from Rfam by way of RNAcentral.